Molecule: long non-coding RNA, 1604 nt
Filed under: Citrus maxima (pomelo)
Lineage: Eukaryota; Viridiplantae; Streptophyta; Magnoliopsida; Sapindales; Rutaceae
Description: long non-coding RNA (CMAX_LNC001936)
Source: RNAcentral
AGUGCUAAAGCCUUUUCUAAUAUGACCAAUCAGACUUCACAAGAGUACCAAAUUUAGGGGAGCUGAUUUCUGAAAGAUUUACAAGGUUGCAGGAGAUUCACUCAUUUUUUCUGCUUCAAAGAAGCUGAUUCUGUUGAAUUUGAAAGGUUGUACAAGUCUUUCAACUCUUCCAGGCAAGAUCUUUAUGAAAUCUGAUUAAGACACUUGUUCUUUCUGGUUGCUUGAAGUUGAAGAAAUUUCCAGACAUUGUGCAAGUUCUUCCGGAUGGAACUGAUAUUAGAGAACUGUCAUUAGCAAUUGAACUUCUAUUUGGACUUGUUUAGUUGACUCUGAAUGGCUGCAAAAAUCUUGAGCAUCUUCCAAGGACCGUAAGAGCUCUGAAAUAUCUAUCAACUUUGAAUCUUUCCGGCCUUUUGAAAUUCAGAUAGUUUCCACAGAUAACUUCAAGCAGGGAUCAGCUCUUGGAGAUUCAUUUGGAAGGAACUGCUAUAAGAGGAUUGCCAGCAUCUAUUGAACUUCUUUCUGGCAAUGUUUUGUCGAAUUUGAAAGAUUGCAAGAAUCUCAAGAGUCUUCCAUGUAUGAUAAAUGGUUUGAGAUCUCUUAAAUUGUUGUAUCCCUCUGGUUGCUCCAAACUUAAAAAUGUGACAGAGACCUUGGGGAAAGUUGAAAUCUUGGAAGUAAGAUUGUCUUGUUAGAAUCAGGCGAAAAUGCAGAAUGACUUCAACUGUGUGGAACAGAGUGCAGUGGAGACAGUAACAAAGUUAGCAAAAGCAGAAUCGCUAAGGUACUUUACAAAAUUAAUAAUUUCCUUUAUAACAUGCAGUACCGUAUUACUUCUAUGUGCAUUGCUAUCAAUAUCUUCGACCGAAAGAUUCAGAUUCAUGGAAGAAGAAUGUUGAUAAGGGCAUCAAGCUAUCUACAACAGCAAUAUCAGCUUGCUCACUUGCCUGCCAUAGGCUGAUUCAAACCUCAAGAGCCAUGCCGAAGAGUUGAAUCAAAUAACAGCAAAUUCACAUCUUAGGUGGCCUUUUCUUCCAGCUUAGUCACUGCAUCAUUUUUUUUAUAGCAGGUUCGUUCUAUAAUAAUCUCAUAGGCACAUAUCAUGAACUUUGUUUUAUCAUGCUUGCAUACUUUGUUUACUUCUGCACAGUGAUAUACACAUUCACUAUCUCUAUUUUGCAUGACUACUAUAAAUUUAAGUAGAAAUUGAUUUUGGAAUAUGCUCUUAUCCUUUAUUAAUCAUAUAAAAAGUUCAUACGUGAGGGUAUACUAUUUACAGCUGUCUUGCGGAUGGAUUUAUAACCUUACUAAGUAAUAUUAUCAACAAUUUUUGGAUUUGCUGAUUUUAGAGCCUGGUCUUAGAAUCCAUAAUGCAUUGACAAAUACAGAAAUGAUCAAAUUGCUAGCCUCAGUAGUUGCUAUUUAUGUUAUUAUUGAAAGAUGAUUCAAAUUCUUUAUGUAUGUUAGUUUUUGUUUGGGCGGGAAAUUUAAGUUUUAUCUUAGUUGACUCUAUUGACCACCGCUUGUAUCAAAAAAAUCUGAAUACUGGUCGUACGAGUACUAUAUAGCAGACCCGAGGGCAUGCGAGGAGAGACCAAAAUCGA